CNNNCNUGGCGGNGNGNAUUAGGCAUGCAAGUCGAACGGGAUCUCUUAAAUCGAUUCUUCGGAUGACGUUUUUGAGUGAGAGUGGCGAACUGGUGAGGAACACGUGGGUAAUUUGCCCUUAAGUUCGGAAUAGCCCUUCGAAAGGAGGAGUAAUACCGAAUGUGGUCGUCCCGCUCCUGCGGGACUGUCUAAAGGUGGGGAUCUUCGGACCUGCCGCUUAGGGAUAAGCCCGCGCCCUAUCAGCUUGUUGGUGAGGUAAUGGCUCACCAAGGCGUAGACGGGUAGCUGGUCUGAGAGGAUGAUCAGCCACACUGGGACUGAGACACUGCCCAGACUCCUACGGGAGGCUGCAGUCGAGAAUCAUUCGCAAUGCACGAAAGUGUGACGAUGCGACGCCGCGUGGAGGAUGACGGCCUUCGGGUUGUAAACUCCUGUCAUGAGGGAAGAAUGUCCGGCCGGUGAAUACCCGGUCGGAGUGACGGUACCUCAAGAGGAAGCCACGGCUAACUCUGUGCCAGCAGCCGCGGUAAUACAGAGGUGGCGAGCGUUGUUCGGAUUUACUGGGCGUAAAGGGUGCGUAGGCGGUAUGGUAUGUCGGAUGUGAAAUCUCACCGUCCAACGGUGAAACUGCAUUCGAAACUGCCGUACUAGAGUACAGGAGGGGAGAGCGGAAUUCUUGGUGUAGCGGUGAAAUGCGUAGAUAUCAAGAAGAACGCCGGCGGCGAAGGCGGCUCUCUGGACUGAUACUGACGCUGAGGCACGAAAGCUGGGGUAGCGAAGAGGAUUAGAUACCCUCGUAGUCCCAGCCGUAAACGGUGUGCACUUGGUGUGGGCGGCUUUGUCCCCGUCCGUGCCGGAGCUAACGCGUUAAGUGCACCGCCUGGGGAGUACGGCCGCAA
RNAcentral lists this ribosomal RNA (899 nucleotides) under uncultured bacterium. Its description in RNAcentral is "bacterial SSU rRNA". It matches the Rfam family "Bacterial small subunit ribosomal RNA", at positions 30 to 891 of the family's 1533-position model. The record is from RNAcentral.